This 2065-nucleotide long non-coding RNA is filed under the name Ananas comosus (pineapple). RNAcentral's name for it is "long non-coding RNA (ACOM_LNC027301)". Lineage: Eukaryota; Viridiplantae; Streptophyta; Magnoliopsida; Poales; Bromeliaceae. The record is from RNAcentral.
GUGUAGAGCUACUGUAUCAUUAAAAAUAUAAGAGAGUUGGUGCUUUCGACAUUUAAUUUUUAGAUCAAAAAUUAUAUAGUUAGGAUGAUAGCGGUCCUUCUUAGGAUUGAGUGGUUCUUAUUGGAUAAUAAUAUUAAUCUGAUGGUUAAAAAUGAUCAAAGAGAUUUAUUUAAGAGCCAAAAAGUCGAAAGCAGCAAAUUCUCUAUACCCAAUAAGUUAAGGGCAAAAAGAGUCAUUUUGAUUUUUUUUUUAACUCUAUUAGAUACUUAACUCAUAUUUAACUCAAGUUAACUUAUCGGGUGAUAAUUAUAGGAGUAUUUUGGAAUAACGAAAGACAAUAUAAAUGGUAUAUUGAAAAGAAAAAAAUAUAUAUUUUUGAAGUUUUGAAAGCUAUAUAAGCAAUUAUCCCUCUAUAUAUAUAUAUAUAAAAACCAUGUCCUUCUCCAUCGCUUAUUUAAUUCACCUCCAUGUUAGUGAAACUUACAGCAAAAUUUAGUUUCAAAUCUAUUAAAAAAAAAAAAACUUUAAAUACUAACUCUGUGGUUUCAAACUUUUUUAGUUUAGUAUUUUAUGGUUUACAGUGUAUCAAUUUAGUAUCAUGUGAUUUUAUUUUAUUUUUUUAUUAUCCCCUCUACUAAUUUUUUUCGUUAAAUCAGUGACAAAAUUAAAACUAAAAAUUACUAAAGUGAAUAUUUGAUAAAUCUAGGUGAGAUAUAUAAAAUUUUUUGUAUAUUAUUUAACGAAAUGUUAACAGAGGAGCUGACUAAAAGAGAAAAAUAAAAUUACAUGGUACUAAAUUGAUACAUUUUAAAUCACAGAAUACUAAAGUAAGAAAGUACAAAAUCACAGGAGGGAGCAUUUGAAGUUUAUCCUUAAAAAUAAAAAUAAACUGAAUAAUUAAAAUUGAUUAUACGAUUGAUUUAAUGCAAUAAAAUAACUAAGGCAUGCACGAGCUAACACGCAAGAAAAAUUAUGAUAUUUUAGAUAAAUUAAGAAUGGCAUUGAAAAUUAAAAUAAAAUGUAUAUACAGAAUGAUGUGAUUGUGAUUUUUGGAUAUUGUAUCACCGCAAAUUAGGUUUGGUGAAGGACCAUAGAGACCUUAAUAAUGACACCACAAUUAUUUGAUGGAUUAAACUAAGUUAAUAUAUAAUAAUUAUUUUUUCUACAUCAACUGCCAUAGCGUCUUUAUCGCGGUUUCCUUACAACAGAGACAUCAAUCUAUAUAUAUAUAUAGGCUGGGACUACUAUACUUAUAUGAGUAUAGAGCCCUUGUACUCAUAAGUUUUCGACCGUUCAGAUGAAAAAACGUGCGGUUAGGAUGACAGUGGUUACGGUUAGGUUGAUAGUGGACCUCCUAGGGUUGAGUGGAUGGUUGGUUGAAUAGUAUAAUCUAACGGGUGAAAAUGAUUAAAGGGUAGAUCUAACGGCCAAAAACUUAUGAGUACAAUAGGCUCUAUACUUAUAAAAGUAUAGUAGCCGGACUAUAUAUAUAUAUAUAUAUAUAUAUACACACACAUAUAUGAAUUAACUUCAUACAGGUUCACGUAAAUAUAGUAAAUGAUAAAUAUAUUUUUACAAAAUUUAAAAUUUAUAUGUUGUUCCUACAAAAAUUCUGAUAUUUUCAAAUAUAUCCCUACCGUUAAAAUUCAUUAGAAAAAUUUGUUAACCAUAGAUUAAAUACUUAAUCUUUGUUAGUUUUUGACAUUUUUGAUCCUCUUAUAUUAUACCAGUAUGAUUUUUAGAGAGACAUAUUUGUGACGGUAAAAUUAAAAAUAUAGACAGUUCUCUAACGAUAACAAAUUAAAGGAAUAUAUUUGAAAAUAUUAGAAUUUUUAUAGAAACGACAUAUGAAGCUUGAAUUUUAUAGAAAUAUAUUUGUCAUUUAUUAUAUUUGCAAGGAUCUGUAUGAAAUUAACCCAUAUAUUUAUAUGGAUUGUAUAGUGGUUGUUAUUAGAAUUACCGAGAUCAAAGGUUCGAAUAAUUUCCAAAUUGUUUUAGUCUUAAAACUUAAUUACGUAAUAGAGUGCGGUGAGAACUAAAAGAUCAAAAAGCGAUGGAAAGUGAG